Molecule: ribosomal RNA, 253 nt
Filed under: uncultured bacterium
Lineage: Bacteria
Description: partial 16S ribosomal RNA
Rfam family: Bacterial small subunit ribosomal RNA
Source: RNAcentral
UACAGAGACUGCAAGCGUUAUUCGGAUUCACUGGGCGUAAAGGGUGCGCAGGCGGCCGUGUGUGUCAGGUGUGAAAGCCCGGAGCUUAACUCCGGAAUUGCGCCUGAAACUACAUGGCUAGAGCAUUGGAGAGGGAAGUGGAAUUCACGGUGUAGCAGUGAAAUGCGUAGAUAUCGUGAGGAACACCAGAGGCGAAGGCGGCGAUCUGGGAAGAUACUGACGCUGAGGUGCGAAAGCGUGGGGAGCAAACAGG